AUUGAACGCUGGCGGCAUGCCUUACACAUGCAAGUCGAACGGCAGCACGGGAGCAAUCCUGGUGGCGAGUGGCGAACGGGUGAGUAAAGUAUCGGAACGUGCCCAGUCGUGGGGGAUAACGUAGCGAAAGUUACGCUAAUACCGCAUACGAUCUAUGGAUGAAAGCGGGGGAUCGCAAGACCUCGCGCGAUUGGAGCGGCCGAUAUCAGAUUAGGUAGUUGGUGGGGUAAAGGCUCACCAAGCCGACGAUCUGUAGCUGGUCUGAGAGGACGACCAGCCACACUGGGACUGAGACACGGCCCAGACUCCUACGGGAGGCAGCAGUGGGGAAUUUUGGACAAUGGGCGAAAGCCUGAUCCAGCAAUGCCGCGUGCAGGAAGAAGGCAUUCGGGUUGUAAACUGCUUUUGUACGGAACGAAACGGUCCUGGUUAAUACCCGGGGCUAAUGACGGUACCGUAAGAAUAAGCACCGGCUAACUACGUGCCAGCCGCCGCCGUAA
This 500-nucleotide ribosomal RNA is filed under the name uncultured bacterium. RNAcentral's name for it is "partial 16S ribosomal RNA". It matches the Rfam family "Bacterial small subunit ribosomal RNA", at positions 30 to 523 of the family's 1533-position model. The record is from RNAcentral.